This 1372-nucleotide ribosomal RNA is filed under the name uncultured bacterium. RNAcentral's name for it is "bacterial SSU rRNA". It matches the Rfam family "Bacterial small subunit ribosomal RNA", at positions 28 to 1381 of the family's 1533-position model. The record is from RNAcentral.
GAUAAACGCUGGCGGCGCGCCUAAUACAUGCAAGUCGAGCGAACGGACGAGAAGCUUGCUUCUCUGAUGUUAGCGGCGGACGGGUGAGUAACACGUGGAUAACCUACCUAUAAGACUGGGAUAACUUCGGGAAACCGGAGCUAAUACCGGAUAAUAUUUUGAACCGCAUGGUUCAAAAGUGAAAGACGGUCUUGCUGUCACUUAUAGAUGGAUCCGCGCUGCAUUAGCUAGUUGGUAAGGUAACGGCUUACCAAGGCAACGAUGCAUAGCCGACCUGAGAGGGUGAUCGGCCACACUGGAACUGAGACACGGUCCAGACUCCUACGGGAGGCAGCAGUAGGGAAUCUUCCGCAAUGGGCGAAAGCCUGACGGAGCAACGCCGCGUGAGUGAUGAAGGUCUUCGGAUCGUAAAACUCUGUUAUUAGGGAAGAACAUAUGUGUAAGUAACUGUGCACAUCUUGACGGUACCUAAUCAGAAAGCCACGGCUAACUACGUGCCAGCAGCCGCGGUAAUACGUAGGUGGCAAGCGUUAUCCGGAAUUAUUGGGCGUAAAGCGCGCGUAGGCGGUUUUUUAAGUCUGAUGUGAAAGCCCACGGCUCAACCGUGGAGGGUCAUUGGAAACUGGAAAACUUGAGUGCAGAAGAGGAAAGUGGAAUUCCAUGUGUAGCGGUGAAAUGCGCAGAGAUAUGGAGGAACACCAGUGGCGAAGGCGACUUUCUGGUCUGUAACUGACGCUGAUGUGCGAAAGCGUGGGGAUCAAACAGGAUUAGAUACCCUGGUAGUCCACGCCGUAAACGAUGAGUGCUAAGUGUUAGGGGGUUUCCGCCCCUUAGUGCUGCAGCUAACGCAUUAAGCACUCCGCCUGGGGAGUACGACCGCAAGGUUGAAACUCAAAGGAAUUGACGGGGACCCGCACAAGCGGUGGAGCAUGUGGUUUAAUUCGAAGCAACGCGAAGAACCUUACCAAAUCUUGACAUCCUUUGACAACUCUAGAGAUAGAGCCUUCCCCUUCGGGGGACAAAGUGACAGGUGGUGCAUGGUUGUCGUCAGCUCGUGUCGUGAGAUGUUGGGUUAAGUCCCGCAACGAGCGCAACCCUUAAGCUUAGUUGCCAUCAUUAAGUUGGGCACUCUAAGUUGACUGCCGGUGACAAACCGGAGGAAGGUGGGGAUGACGUCAAAUCAUCAUGCCCCUUAUGAUUUGGGCUACACACGUGCUACAAUGGACAAUACAAAGGGCAGCGAAACCGCGAGGUCAAGCAAAUCCCAUAAAGUUGUUCUCAGUUCGGAUUGUAGUCUGCAACUCGACUACAUGAAGCUGGAAUCGCUAGUAAUCGUAGAUCAGCAUGCUACGGUGAAUACGUUCCCGGGUCU